UAGGGAAUCUUCGGCAAUGGGGGGAACCCUGACCGAGCAACGCCGCGUGAGUGAAGAAGGUUUUCGGAUCGUAAAGCUCUGUUGUUAAGGAAGAACGAGUGUGAGAAUGGAAAGUUCAUGCUGUGACGGUACUUAACCAGAAAGGGACGGCUAACUACGUGCCAGCAGCCGCGGUAAUACGUAGGUCCCGAGCGUUGUACGGAUUUAUUGGGCGUAAAGCGAGCGCAGGCGGUUAGAAAAGUCUGAAGUGAAAGGCAGUGGCUCAACCAUUGUAGGCUUUGGAAACUGUUUAGCUUGAGUGCAGAAGGGGAGAGUGGAAUUCCAUGUGUAGCGGUGAAAUGCGUAGUUAGAUGGAGGAACACCGGUGGCGAAAGCGGCUCUCUGGUCUGUAACUGACGCUGAGGCUCGAAAGCGUGGGGAGCGAACAGG
RNAcentral lists this ribosomal RNA (429 nucleotides) under Bacteroidota bacterium. RNAcentral describes it as "Bacteroidetes bacterium partial 16S ribosomal RNA". It matches the Rfam family "Bacterial small subunit ribosomal RNA", at positions 355 to 776 of the family's 1533-position model. Lineage: Bacteria; Pseudomonadati; Bacteroidota. The record is from RNAcentral.